This 500-nucleotide ribosomal RNA is filed under the name uncultured bacterium. RNAcentral's name for it is "bacterial SSU rRNA". It matches the Rfam family "Bacterial small subunit ribosomal RNA", at positions 29 to 507 of the family's 1533-position model. The record is from RNAcentral.
ACGAACGCUGGCGGCGUGCCUAAUACAUGCAAGUCGAGCGGAAUGAUGAAGAAGCUUGCUUCUUCUGAUUUUAGCGGCGGACGGGUGAGUAACACGUGGGCAACCUACCUUGUAGAUUGGGAUAACUCCGGGAAACCGGGGCUAAUACCGAAUAAUCCAUUUUGCUUCAUGGCGAGAUGUUGAAAGACGGUUUCGGCUGUCACUAUAAGAUGGGCCCGCGGCGCAUUAGCUAGUUGGUAGGGUAAUGGCCUACCAAGGCGACGAUGCGUAGCCGACCUGAGAGGGUGAUCGGCCACACUGGGACUGAGACACGGCCCAGACUCCUACGGGAGGCAGCAGUAGGGAAUCUUCCACAAUGGACGAAAGUCUGAUGGAGCAACGCCGCGUGAGUGAAGAAGGUUUUUCGGAUCGUAAAACUCUGUUGUAAGGGAAGAACACGUACGAGAGUAACUGCUCGUACCUUGACGGUACCUUAUUAGAAAGCCACGGCUAACUACGUG